AUGACAGCAGCCUACUGCAUAUUUUUCAUCACACCUUCACAUUUCACUCUCUCAAUCUUCUUUAAGGAGCAUUCUCUGGACUUAAGAGCUUUCCCUCUAGAGUCCUAAGUGCUCACCAAGAUCUAAACUGUUGCUCAUUUGGAGAUCAAGAGAGAGAAACUAUCUCCAAGUUGAUUCAAGGAUUACGAAAUCGACCCGGAAACGAACAUACAAGUGGUAUCAGAGCAGGAGAUCGAUUGCACGGAUUCAAGAGAUUUCAUCAGAAUCGGGGCUGAAUUUGAUCAAAAUCGUUACAUUUCUUCUUCUACUCACUUUCUUCACUUUUUGAACUUAAAACUCAGAUUUACGGAGAUUUACUGGGUAAAAUUGGCUGAAUUUCGGAAAUGAUGUGCGUAAAAUGAUGUUAAACAAUCCUCCAAAGUUUCAAGUUUAAAUUCAAAGGAAUUUGUGGUCAAAUUGGCGAAAAACUAUGAAUUCUGCGCGUUGUGAAGAAUACUGAUCAAGUCCAUCCAUCUAAAGACAGGGUCCAUCCGGUUGUAUAAGGGUUCAUCCGGCCAAAACAGUUCAUCCGUCUGAAAGACAGGGUCCAUCCGGUUAUAAAAAGGUUAAUCCGACCGAAACAAUUCAUCCGUGAAUAUAGGGUUCAUCCGGCUGAAACAGGUUCAUCCGGCCGAAUUGUCACACCCUGACCGCGUAAAACAACAAACCCUGGUGAAAACGUCGGGGAGUGUCGUAACAGAAUCAUUAUUUCACAACAGAUGGUGAUUGAAGUUUUGUUUUAUUCCACUAAUGUACUCAUUGUUUUAAUACAAACCAGAUAAAUACAAAUAAUUGUCUU
RNAcentral lists this long non-coding RNA (838 nucleotides) under Helianthus annuus (common sunflower). RNAcentral describes it as "hypothetical non coding rna". The record is from RNAcentral. Lineage: Eukaryota; Viridiplantae; Streptophyta; Magnoliopsida; Asterales; Asteraceae.